This 2510-nucleotide long non-coding RNA is filed under the name Equus asinus (donkey). RNAcentral describes it as "lncRNA (ENSEASG00005033740.1)". Lineage: Eukaryota; Metazoa; Chordata; Mammalia; Perissodactyla; Equidae. The record is from RNAcentral.
GUCACGGUGGACAUGCUCACGCUCGAUUCCUGUGAAAUCUGGAACUUUUCCAUACCCUACAGUAUGCCCAGAAAGCACUCCACACAGAAAAGGGCUCCAGUACAUGACCACGCCCAUCAAAGAGAGCAGGUGCAAAGCUUGAAGAGGUCUCUCCCUUCAGCUCUCCACUUUGGGGGUCUGCUGUGACAGCUCCCCUCACUGGUUGCGCCCUUUCCUGGUUCUGAUGGUCACCGUGUGGAUGAGGAAACAGGGACUCAUUGAGGAUUUAUCCCCUUGGUGGAGAACAUAGAAUCCAGAAACAAGAAGUAUAUAACAAGAAGCUGUCGGACGCCAGAGUUAAGGAGCCCACGUUCACAGAACCGGAAGUGUCUAAGUCAGGGACCACAAAACUACAAACAGCAGGAUCUGCAGACUUGGAGUCCUCAAAUCUCAGCGAUGACUCAGAGAUGCCAAGAGGCCGGACACUUGGGUCCUAAGAUUGUCCGUGCAAGAGUGAGGAUCCUGGAUGUGGAAGUUCCUCAGCGUAGCAAGGGUCCAGGAGCAAUACAGGAAAUGGUUCGCAAGCGUCAGGAAAACCACAGCUGAGUCUGAGAAGUAGAUGCUCUCCAGCAGGGCCGUGUCUGAUGCCUACAAACACAGUGUGGAGAAUUAAAUUAAUAGCUAAACCGAGGACAUUGUAUCCUGGAAAGUUCUGAACUGUCAUCCUUUGGGCAAAGAUUACAGAAAAUACUUUUUAAUGUUUGUUACAAGAAACUCUUCAUGGUGCCAUUGUGGGAGAAAGUAUCAGGAAAUGUUUGACAUUCAGUUGCUGGAGAAUUGGGGUCUUCUGGGCCAUACAGCUUGCUCACCUCAUUCCCACAGAGUCAAGGAGCUAUGACCCAAUUCCCCAGCUGCUUUGGAUGAAACCCUCUGCUCCAACCUCCUCUUCUGCAAGGAAGUUCCUCAAGUUGAAGAUACAUUACACGGAUAAUGAGCCUUAGAGGACUUUCUUAAAAUAGCAUCAGAGAGGAAAAUAAUGUUCAAAUACUGCGUGUAAUGUAAACAUUUAAUCCAGUUGCCCAACUUUCCUGGUUUUAGUACUGAAAGUCCUCUGGCCCAUGAGACACUUGGGUUACAGGCCAACUAGGACAGUUUGUCUCCCUGCUGACCUGCCUCAACUUCUUCACUCUCUAUCUCUAAGGCUUACAAAUUUAUUCAUUCAAAAAUAUAUAUGUUUUUUACUCACCAUGUGCUGCACACAGAUCAAGACAGAUUCAGUUCCUCAUUUCACAGAGCUUACUGGUAAAAGAAUAUUUCCUCAGAGUAAAAUCAGAAACCUCUGAAUAGAGUCUCUACAUCCUUACAUUUUACAAGCUGAGCUGUGAGAUAAGGUGUAUAUUGCUACUGCAAAUUUUGUAAGUUAUAGCUAUACAUAUUGCUCAUAUAUGGAUAUCUAUGCAUCCUCAGCAUAUAAUCUAGAGAAAAUCUAAAUCCAGAGCAGUAACACUUACAUGAAAUUCCCUGUGGGCCCCACUGACCAAAUCUGCGUCAAUUUGAGUGUCCAGGAAAAUGACUGUAAAUGAUUAUAAAAUAUUAAAUAAAAAUACCCAUGAGUCCAUAGUGACACAUAAAAUGUCAGCUCUAAACGUAAAAGAUAUGAUAGAAUUAGAAGAUCAUGGGUUUUUCAAUAUCCAGUAAGAGGCCACUAAAAGCAUGGGGUGAAAGGCUGCUGGAGGACAAGCUGGUCCUACAGAGCCCAAAAAUCCCCUCAGAUUACUGGUUCAUCACAAGGGCCAAGGUGCACAUCUACAACAUGGAGAUCUGCCAGUCACCAUCUGAACUUAAAUGAUCAGGCUUAACAUCACCACUAUGGGAAACCUGACAUCAGAUAUCUCCUCAGAAGACAUGAAGUUACAACAUCCCAUUUGUGGUGAAUAAAGAAUUAUUGACAAAUCAGUCUGACCUAAACCUAAUCCAGCCUUCAGACCAAGGGUGGACAAACUGGAGCAUGCAGGACAAGUGCAGGCAGCCGCCUGCUCUGGUGAAUAAAGAUUUAUUGGAGCACAGCCACACCCAUUCAUGGAUGAUUGUCUAUGGCUGCUCUCACGCUACAGUGUCAGAGUUGAGUAGCUGUGACAGAGACUGUACGAACGACAAGCUGAAAAUAUAUACCACCUGGCCCUUUAUGGGCAACCUUGCUGGCACCUGUUCUUCCAGAUCUAACGUUCAGUAUACACAGAAUACAGGGGACAGAAGAACAGGUUAAAUGGCAUCAAGAGGAAACAAUCAGGCAAAUUGAGAGUGUGGGGCAUUCAACAAGCCCUGGACUCUUCUAAAGUCAAUAGCAUUUUAAAAAGUGACUAGAGGCUAUUCCAUAUCAAAAGAGGCAAAAGUGACAUCACCAUCGAGUUCAGCGUAAAUUUUAGUGGGACUCUGGUUCAGAAACACAGCUAUAAAAAUAUUUUGGAGCAAUUGGGGUAAUUUGAAUAUGGAUCAGAUAGUAAAUGUUGUUAUGAAAUUGCUGAUUUUCU